This 306-nucleotide unclassified non-coding RNA is filed under the name plant metagenome. RNAcentral's name for it is "partial contains 5.8S ribosomal RNA, internal transcribed spacer 2, and large subunit ribosomal RNA". The stretch from base 1 to 105 matches the Rfam family "5.8S ribosomal RNA", at positions 50 to 154 of the family's 154-position model. The record is from RNAcentral.
GAAAUGCGAUAAGUAGUGUGAAUUGCAGAAUUCAGUGAAUCAUCGAAUCUUUGAACGCACAUUGCGCCCCUUGGUAUGCCAUGGGGCAUGCCUGUUCGAGCGUCAUCUACACCCUCAAGCUCUGCUUGGUGUUGGGCGUCUUUGUCCCGCCUCCGCGCGCGGACUCGCCCCAAAUUCAUUGGCAGCGGUCCUUGCCUCCUCUCGCGCAGCACAUUGCGCUUCUCGAGGUGUUGCGGCCCGCGUCCAGAAAGCAAUCGUUACCGUCUUUGACCUCGGAUCAGGUAGGGAUACCCGCUGAACUUAAGC